UACGGAGGGUGCAAGCGUUGUUCGGAUUUAUUGGCGUAAAGCGCGUGUAGGCGGUCUCUUAAGUCUGAUGUGAAAGCCCUGGGCUCAACCCAGGAAGUGCAUUGGAUACUGGGGGACUUGAAUACGGGAGAGGGUAGUGGAAUUCCUAGUGUAGGAGUGAAAUCCGUAGAUAUUAGGAGGAACACCGGUGGCGAAGGCGGCUACCUGGACCGAUAUUGACGCUGAGACGCGAAAGCGUGGGGAUCAAACAGG
Molecule: ribosomal RNA, 252 nt
Filed under: uncultured bacterium
Lineage: Bacteria
Description: partial 16S ribosomal RNA
Rfam family: Bacterial small subunit ribosomal RNA
Source: RNAcentral